GACGAACGCUAGCGCCGCUGCCUAACACAUGCAAGUCGAACGAGCGAGAGAGAGCUUGCUUUCUUGAGCGAGUGGCGAACGGGUGAGUAACGCGUGAGGAACCUGCCUCAAAGAGGGGGACAACAGUUGGAAACGACUGCUAAUACCGCAUAAGCCCACAGGUCGGCAUCGACCAGAGGGAAAAGGAGCAAUCCGCUUUGAGAUGGCCUCGCGUCCGAUUAGCUAGUUGGUGAGGUAACGGCCCACCAAGGCAACGAUCGGUAGCCGGACUGAGAGGUUGAGCGGCCACAUUGGGACUGAGACACGGCCCAGACUCCUACGGGAGGCAGCAGUGGGGAAUAUUGCACAAUGGGGGAAACCCUGAUGCAGCGACGCCGCGUGGAGGAAGAAGGUCUUCGGAUUGUAAACUCCUGUUGUUGAGGAAGAUAAUGACGGUACUCAACAAGGAAGUGACGGCUAACUACGUGCCAGCAGCCGCGGUAAAACGUAGGUCACAAGCGUUGUCCGGAAUUACUGGGUGUAAAGGGAGCGCAGGCGGGAAGACAAGUUGGAAGUGAAAUCUAUGGGCUCAACCCAUAAACUGCUUUCAAAACUGUUUUUCUUGAGUAGUGCAGAGGUAGGCGGAAUUCCCGGUGUAGCGGUGGAAUGCGUAGAUAUCGGGAGGAACACCAGUGGCGAAGGCGGCCUACUGGGCACCAACUGACGCUGAGGCUCGAAAGUGUGGGUAGCAAACAGG
RNAcentral lists this ribosomal RNA (736 nucleotides) under uncultured bacterium. RNAcentral's name for it is "bacterial SSU rRNA". It matches the Rfam family "Bacterial small subunit ribosomal RNA", at positions 28 to 776 of the family's 1533-position model. The record is from RNAcentral.